Mus musculus (house mouse) is the source of this 1556-nucleotide long non-coding RNA. RefSeq annotates it as predicted gene, 36499. The record is from RefSeq and is a predicted model, not a curated record. Lineage: Eukaryota; Metazoa; Chordata; Mammalia; Rodentia; Muridae. The transcript is spliced from 5 exons.
UGAUGUCCCACUGUCUCUCACUGCCAGCAACACUGUUGUGAAGACCUACUGUCUACAACCUGAAACGCAGCCGGAAACUCCUCCCUCCAAGAAGCCUUCCUCACUAACUUCUGCCUCCUCUGGUCUCUCACAGCCAGCAAACAUAGACCUGUAUGGUGGCGCAUGCCACACAAACAGAUGUCACUUGUCAUGCCUGAUAUGACCUGUACAGCAUCGUGUUUGCUCCCUAAUUGUCAUCCUUCCUCUCCGUGAAGACAUGACCCUCCUUCUCCUUUUGUGGUUUUGAGGCUACAUUCAAUUGUAGCUCCUGCUUCUUAGCAUAAGGAUGGGCAUGUGACUUGAGUAGAGCCAAUCAGAGUUCUCCCCUGGGAUUGCCAAGCAGUGAGUACUGGGUGAGAUGAGGCCUUUCCUUCCUCUGGGGUGCAGAAUGAUGUAAUCCUGGCACUUGGCAUAGCUGUAGCAUCUAUCUGCUGGGCACAGAUGAGCUUGGGCAAGCCUCUCUGUGCCCCAGUUUUCGCUGUUGUACCACGUGUGAUGCUAACAGCACUACCAGGAUCCUCAUGAGACUUCCUGUUAAUGCAUAAGCUGAGGACUACCCACUUUGCCUAAAGUUUAAGAUGUGUGUAUGUGUGCGUUGUAUAAGAAACAUGGUUAAAUGCUUCAAAAAGCAAUGCAGUAAACUAUACAGUUAAGAAUCCUGGUGUUAUCAUGACUCCUUUGAACCCAGGUCUCAUCACUUAGAUGCGCUACUUCUUUUGUUUACUUGUUCAGCUCUUUGUUGAGAUGCUGUCUAACUAUAGAGCCUUUGCUGUCCUGACUCAUUUUGUAGACCAAGCUCCCUCUAAUCAGAGGAGUCCCUCUACUUCUGCCAUGUGAAUUCUGGGAUUACAGCAUAUCCUGGGUGCUGUCCAUAAAGUUCUCUGUGGCUGGCCCUUUCUUUCCUAUUCCAUGUAUGGAUGAACUCCACAGCUCCAAUGCAAUGGCAGCUUUGGCCAAAGCAGUUCCUGCUGAGGACCUGGAGGCUGUGAAGCCCAAGGUCAAAGUGCUGACUGUUGUGGUGUCUGGCAUGGGUUGUCUUCCUGGAUUGCAGACAUCUUUAUCUCGCUCAGCAUCCAUGCGACAGACUCUUCGUUGUGUACCAGUGGAGAAGGGAAACACAGGAAAACAAUCCAAUGAUGAUAUAACCCUGAUGACUUUCUGCUUUUUUGUUCUGCCAGUCAAUGGAAGAUGGAUAUUAAAAUAUUUCCAACUAUAAUUGGAAGUGUAUCCACUUAUCAUUGAGCACCUUCAAGUAUGUGCCAGGGGCUGGAGAAGGCCUGCUUGGUAAAGUCUUGCCAUGAAAGCAUGAAGACCUGAAUUUGGGUUCGCAGCACAGCGUGGAAAAAGCUGAGUAUAGCAGUACACACCUGGAAUCCCAGCAUUGGGGAGGUAGAGACAGUAGGAUCUCUGAGGCUUGCUAGUGAGUUCCUGGCUCAGGGAGGGACCCUGUCUUAAAAAUAAGGCAGAUAGUAAUUGAGGAAUGUAAUCAAUAUUGACCUCUGACUUACAGCCACACA